Molecule: small nuclear RNA, 111 nt
Filed under: Castor canadensis (American beaver)
Lineage: Eukaryota; Metazoa; Chordata; Mammalia; Rodentia; Castoridae
Source: RNAcentral
CUGUUCACUUUAGCAGCACAUGUACUAAAAUUAGACCAAGACAUAGAAGAUUAAUUAGCAUAGCCCUGAAGCAAGGAAGAUACACAAAUUCAUGAAUGUUCCAUAAUUUUU